RNAcentral lists this long non-coding RNA (336 nucleotides) under Gossypium raimondii (Peruvian cotton). RNAcentral's name for it is "long non-coding RNA (GRAI_LNC003910)". Lineage: Eukaryota; Viridiplantae; Streptophyta; Magnoliopsida; Malvales; Malvaceae. The record is from RNAcentral.
GAAGGGGUCAAGGAGAACAACAUAUCUCAGGCUUGUGAUGAUACAAUAGUGGACGCCUAUGGAUCGAGAUUUCUAGCUUCAAAACUUUUCUUGGAGUUUUGUAGGUUUUGGUUGCUUUUUGGGAAAAUCUGAACUGAAGGAUGGAUAGAGGGUGUGGAGACUUGUCAUUUGGUGGUGGUUUUGUUCAUUGGAGCACCAGUAGAGGAGCUAUCCAAUCGACGAAGACUCAGGCCAGAAGAAGAUGGGGAAGAAAAAUGAAAUAGUGAUAAAAGAAAAGAAAAUAAAAGAAGAAACUGGAAAGAAAAAAAGAAAGAAAGAAAUGAAAAGGAAUAAAAG